GAUGAACGCUGGCGGCGUGCCUAAUACAUGCAAGUCGGGCGAACAGAUAAGGAGCUUGCUCCUUUGACGUUAGCGGCGGACGGGUGAGUAACACGUGGGUAACCUACCUAUAAGACUGGGAUAACUUCGGGAAACCGGAGCUAAUACCGGAUAACAUUUGGAACCGCAUGGUUCUAAAGUGAAAGAUGGUUUUGCUAUCACUUAUAGAUGGACCCGCGCCGUAUUAGCUAGUUGGUAAGGUAACGGCUUACCAAGGCAACGAUACGUAGCCGACCUGAGAGGGUGGCCCGCCACCCUGGACUCGACCCCCGUUCCAGCCCCCUGCGGGGGGCCCAGGUGGGGAUUCUUCCGCAAUGGGCGAAAGCCUGCCGGAGCACCGCAGCGGGGGUGAUGAAGGUUUUCGGCUCGUAAACCUCUUUUUUUAGGGAAAAAAAAACGUGUAAUUAACUGGGCCCGUUUUGGCGGUACCUAAACAAAAAGCCCCCCCUAACUACGU
RNAcentral lists this ribosomal RNA (496 nucleotides) under uncultured bacterium. Its description in RNAcentral is "partial 16S ribosomal RNA". It matches the Rfam family "Bacterial small subunit ribosomal RNA", at positions 28 to 506 of the family's 1533-position model. The record is from RNAcentral.